UCUUGUAUCCAGUGUAAUCUAUCGCGCUAGAGGUUGUUUAUCGUGUUUGAUAUUGGGUUUACUAUUUGCGGUUAGAAUAAACGAUUCGGAUUGAAAUUAUUAAUUGGGUUUGAAAUCAAGGGUUUACACUGGAGUUGUAAUAUACUGUAGGGAUACAGGUUAGAGUUGUAUUAUAGUCCAAAUAGAAGGAUACCGGUAACUGCUAUUCCGUGUAUUUAGUCACAUAAGUUAAGUUGUAUUUACUUUGGAUUAUAUUUUGUUGAAUUGAGUUGCCUGGAGAUCCUAAACAUUCGAAAACCGUUCCUUUACGUUCCUCAUACCCGGUAUCAAUAUUUACGUUACGUUCCAUUAACAACGUUCCGUUUCUCGUACCCGACAAGUUCUAUUUUCCUGAUUCAUGUUCGAGAUUUGAUUUGAAGUGUCUGUUGAUUGGUAUUAAAGAUAUUCACCGGU
This is a non-coding RNA of Styela clava, 453 nucleotides long. The record is from RefSeq and is a predicted model, not a curated record. NCBI's taxonomy places the organism in Eukaryota, Metazoa, Chordata, Ascidiacea, Stolidobranchia, Styelidae.